RNAcentral lists this ribosomal RNA (472 nucleotides) under Hua telonaria. RNAcentral's name for it is "partial large subunit ribosomal RNA". It matches the Rfam family "Bacterial large subunit ribosomal RNA", at positions 1809 to 2559 of the family's 2925-position model. Lineage: Eukaryota; Metazoa; Mollusca; Gastropoda; Semisulcospiridae. The record is from RNAcentral.
AAAAACAUGGCUCUCUGCUUAUAUAUAUAGAGAGUCGAGCCUGCCCAGUGAAUUUUUCAACGGCCGCGGUACUCUGACCGUGCAAAGGUAGCAUAAUCAUUUGCCUUAUAAUUGAAGGCUAGUAUGAAUGGUUUGACGAGAGCAACGCUGUCUCUUUUUUAUUUUCAAGAACUUAACUUUUAGGUGAAGAGGCCUAAAUUUUAUUGAAGGACAAGAAGACCCUGUCGAGCUUAAAAGAUACUAUAGAAGUUUAUAUAUCUUUAAAUAAAUUUUCUAUUAAGCUUUUUAGUUGGGGCGACUAAGGAACAAAAAAAGCUUCUUGUUAAUAUUAAACGGUCACGUUUAGAUCCGGUAAUAAUCGAUUAAAGAAAUUAGUUACCGCAGGGAUAACAGCAUAAUCUCUCUUGAGAGACCUAAUCGAAAGAGGGGGUUGUGACCUCGAUGUUGGACUAGAAUAUCCUAAAGAUGUAGA